RNAcentral lists this ribosomal RNA (492 nucleotides) under uncultured bacterium. Its description in RNAcentral is "partial 16S ribosomal RNA". It matches the Rfam family "Bacterial small subunit ribosomal RNA", at positions 29 to 507 of the family's 1533-position model. The record is from RNAcentral.
AGUGAACGCUGGCGGUAGGCCUAACACAUGCAAGUCGACCGGCAGCACAGUAAGAGCUUGCUCUUACGGGUGGCGAGUGGCGGACGGGUGAGGAAUACAUCGGAAUCUACUUUUUCGUGGGGGUUAACGUAGGGAAACUUACGCUAAUACCGCAUACGCCCUACGGGGGAAAGCAGGGGAUCUUCGGACCUUGCGCGAUUGAAUGAGCCGAUGUCGGAUUAGCUGGUUGGCGGGGUAAAGGCCCACCAAGGCGACGAUCCGUAGCUGGUCUGAGAGGAUGGUCGGCCGCCCUGGAACUGGGACACGCUCCAGACGCCUGCGGUAGGCAGCAGUGGGGAAUAUUGGACAAUGGGCGCAAGCCUGAUCCAGCCAUACCGCGUGGGUGAAGAAGGCCUUCGGGUUGUAAAGCCCUUUUGUUGGGAAAGAAAAGCAGCAGGUUAAUACCCCGCUGUUCUGACGGUACCCAAAGAAUAAGCACCGGCUAACUUCGUG